This 468-nucleotide ribosomal RNA is filed under the name uncultured bacterium. RNAcentral describes it as "partial 16S ribosomal RNA". It matches the Rfam family "Bacterial small subunit ribosomal RNA", at positions 28 to 507 of the family's 1533-position model. The record is from RNAcentral.
GACGAACGCUGGCGGCGUGCUUAACACAUGCCAGUCGAACGGAAAGGCCCUGCUUUUGUGGGGUGCUCGAGUGGCGAACGGGUGAGUAACACGUGAGUAACCUGCCCUUGACUUUGGGAUAACUUCAGGAAACUGGGGCUAAUACCGGAUAGGAGCUCCUGCUGCAUGGUGGGGGUUGGAAAGUUUCGGCGGUUGGGGAUGGACUCGCGGCUUAUCAGCUUGUUGGUGGGGUAGUGGCUUACCAAGGCUUUGACGGGUAGCCGGCCUGAGAGGGUGACCGGCCACAUUGGGACUGAGAUACGGCCCAGACUCCUACGGGAGGCAGCAGUGGGGAACAUUGCACAAUGGGCGGAAGCCUGAUGCAGCAACGCCGCGUGCGGGAUGACGGCCUUCGGGUUGUAAACCGCUUUCGCCUGUGACGAAGCGUGAGUGACGGUAAUGGGUAAAGAAGCACCGGCUAACUACGUG